RNAcentral lists this ribosomal RNA (253 nucleotides) under uncultured bacterium. RNAcentral's name for it is "partial 16S ribosomal RNA". It matches the Rfam family "Bacterial small subunit ribosomal RNA", at positions 524 to 776 of the family's 1533-position model. The record is from RNAcentral.
GACGAACCGUGCAAACGUUGUUCGGAAUCACUGGGCUUAAAGGGCGCGUAGGCGGGCACGCAAGUCGAAGGUGAAAUCCCACGGCUCAACCGUGGAAGUGCCCCCGAUACUGCUUGUCUUGAGGGAGAUAGGGGCGUGCGGAACUUCCGGUGGAGCGGUGAAAUGCGUAGAUAUCGGGAGGAACACCGGUGGCGAAGGCAGCUCUCUGGGACGGUACUGACGCUGAGACGCGAAAGCGUGGGGAGCGAACAGG